UACAGAGGGGGCAAGCGUUGUUCGGAAUUACUGGGCGUAAAGGGCGCGUAGGCGGCUCGACAAGUCCCGGGUGAAAGCCCACGGCUCAACCGUGGAGGGUCAUUGGAAACUGGGGAGCUUGAGUGCAGGAGAGAAGAGUGGAAUUCCACGUGUAGCGGUGAAAUGCGUAGAGAUGUGGAGGAACACCAGUGGCGAAGGCGACUCUUUGGCCUGUAACUGACGCUGAGGCGCGAAAGCGUGGGGAGCAAACAGG
RNAcentral lists this ribosomal RNA (253 nucleotides) under uncultured bacterium. Its description in RNAcentral is "partial 16S ribosomal RNA". It matches the Rfam family "Bacterial small subunit ribosomal RNA", at positions 524 to 776 of the family's 1533-position model. The record is from RNAcentral.